Long non-coding RNA from Prionailurus viverrinus (fishing cat), 2183 nucleotides. RefSeq lists it as uncharacterized. Lineage: Eukaryota; Metazoa; Chordata; Mammalia; Carnivora; Felidae. The record is from RefSeq and is a predicted model, not a curated record. The transcript has 4 exons.
CGAGUGAGAACCUGAGCGGGAACUUUCUGUAUGAAGAUUUAGAAAGUGAGGUUCAGAGAAUUCCAAGAUCACCUGGAGCCUAAAGGGGGAAUUUCAGAAAAUUGUACCAAAUAUGAAUCUUAAGAAAUAAACAUUUGAAUCCAGUGUGUGGUUGAAAGGAACCCUGGAGGAGAGGUGGUGGCAGCUGGAAAGAAAAGACCAUGCCCCCUGGGUCUGUAGGAAGAACGCUGCAGGGACCCCCAGAGAGAGCUAAAGGGAGCCUGGACGAACGCCAAUGGUCUGUCUGCAGUACCGGGGGCUGAGGACUACUGAGAUUAGGCUCAGGACACAACUUCCUCACGCUGAUGCUGAGACCACAAGAUGGCCAUGGCGUCUUCUUGAGAAUUGGAUAACAAUCUAAGGCACCCCUCUCAAGGACGUUUUCCUAACCACCGCAUCUUCCCACCAAACACACGUCCUGGGCCAAUCCUGAAGGCGACUGUUUACCGGGCACCACCACGCUUCCAGAAGAGACAUCCUGGCUGCUGCAGGUCUGCCGCUUCCCUGCCGAGGCAGAGCCUGCCUUCCUGAGUUUCUUUGCCAAAUCCACGUGUCCCCAAAUGGUCCUUCUCACAGAGAAGUCCGAUCGGCAAGCCUUACAACAUCUUCAUUGCUUUAAAAGAAUGGAAGAAACGUGUGCUUCUAAUUACCACAUUUACAGCUCCUUUCUCUCUCUCUCUCUCUCUCUCUCUCUCUCAAUCCUAUAGAAAACAGACCCAGCUCCUUUUGAAAACUUGCAAAUAUUUCACAUUUGUUUGGAGAGCAGAUUUUUUUUCCAGGUUUUUGGAAAGCUGAAGUCACCGACACAUGGCUGCUGGGUGAUAUUGUUGCUGAGUGCAAACAUCACUUGUUCCUAGCACAGCCAAACCUGCCUUUUCAGCCAUGCCAGUGCCUGGGAGGUGUAAGCCUAAUGUGGAACAGUCCCAGGGCUUGUGGGAGUGGUAUUCUUCUGUCUGCAGUGACCUCAAAGAGAACUGAGCAAGGUAUAUAGUGCUUUGUCUUGAGUCUUGCCCCCACCCCAGUUUUGUCUCAGGCAUCAGUUGAUUCUAGUUCAGAGCUCUACGUAGCAUGGGACUAAAAAAACACCUUGUGACCCUUUGGGAAUAAAAGUGGAAUGGCAUAGAUCCUGGGAUAUUAGGCCUCUGGUCUGAUUCUGUGUCCAUGCUGAGUCUGGUCCCAUUUGGCUCCCAUUCAUUAGAUUCUUUUCUAUAGAGAGCACAGAUAAAGCAAGAUCUAGUCUGGGGUAACUGGCUACUGAGGACAGGUGCUUUGGUACCCUGUUCAUUAUUGUGAUCACCUUGGUCCCCAGGUCCAGUCUUCAUCUGUGCAUGUUCAUGAUGAUCAAGUGUCACGGGGAUUGCAUGACUAGUUAAUAUGGACACUAGAAUGUUAGCACUAGAAGGAACCUCUUACAUCACAGAGGGGAGUGUAAGGCUCAGCCAAGAGAAGUGACUUUCUCAAGGUCACACACUAGUUAGUGCCAGAGAUAAGAUGAGAAUCCAGAAAUCCUAACUCCCAAAUCAGUGUUCUUUCUAUCGCCUUUUGCUGUCAAAACUCAUCACGUAUGAGUUGAUCAGCAUAUUUAUUUCCCAGAAGAGAAGGCUACUUGGGGACCUAACAUUAUUAAUAGAGUGUUAUUUGGUAUAUACAGAAGACUAGUCCAGGGUUCGUGCUGGAAAUAAAUGGAUGAAGCCAGGAGUCAGGGAUACAAAAAGCCAUGCUGAGAAAGCCACCCACGGAGAUGCGUGUUCCCAUGUUGGGCCCAGAGAAGACCGAGGCAGCCAGGAAACUUUUUGGAACUGUAAUGGAUAGUCAAGGAAGAAGCAGGGCCCUGAGAUGAACCUAAGUCCCUGAGUUAGAAGUGGAAUUAUUCUGAGAAAGAAGAGAGAAACCAACAGAGGGAAAAGUUAAUCCCUUCUUAACUGCUCUUUGUUCCUGUACACACGCUGAAGCAAGUAGGAGGAAUUUCCAGCCCAGCACCCCCAGUGAGAAAAGUCUGAUCACUUGAUUCAUUUAACCUACAGCUAGUCCAAGAGGGGAGAGCUGCAGGGACUUAAAGGGACACAGCCAUUUUAUGGGGAGAAACCCGCUGUGAAAUGAAGUUUCAGUCGUGUUUGUUCCCAGGUCAGUCUGGUGGCCACAGC